ACGUGUGAAGAAUAUUUUAAAAUUACUAUCUCAAUACCUAUUAAAAGAAACACAUAUAUAAUAUAAUAUAGUAAUGGUAUACAUUACUAUAAUAAUUUUAGAACAGAUAUUAUUACUAAAUAGUUUGUGGGUAUCUAUACCGACUUAUCCUUUGUGACUAUAUUAUAUCAAAGUAAAAUAUUAUAUAAGUAAAUAGUUUUUCUGUCUAUUUUGGAUAACAAACUGAGACAGCUGGUUAUUUUAGUUUUAUUAUGAUGAUUGAUGACAAUAGUUUUUUUCAUCUAUUGUCGAGUUUUAAUGUAGAAAAUAGAGAUUAUGCAGCAAAUUGAGUAACAAUGAGGACUGAGGGUAGUUUUUAGUAGAAAUUAUUAUUUGGUUUGUUAUAAUAAAUUCCAUAUUUUUUUUGUUAAUAAUUUGAAUAUUGGGUGUAUAGUUUUUCGUAAGUUGACGCAAAUUAAUAUCAAAAAUACAUUACAAAUUAAUAAUUUUUAUACUUUUUUUUUUUAGUACAAAUUAUCCGUAUUUUUCAUUCAAAAUUUAGUUUUUUUAAUCAAUUAUUUAACCAUUUAAAUUUAAUGAUGUCGAUAUUGCUAUGAAACAAUAAUUAAUUUCUGUGUUUAAUAUCGAUUGACUAUAGGUAUUAUUUCUUUUGACUUUUUUAACGAUUCAUUUAAGUACAGAAAAAUAUUACAUAAUUGUAAGAUUGAAUAUUAGUAUUUUUUUAAAACUUCAUACAACUAUAGCUAUAUAACAAUUAAUAGUGCAAGUCCUAAGCCAAAUUUGAUAAAUCAUGUCCAAAUAAUACAUAUUCAAUCAUAAAGGUCUUACAAGAAAUACUGGGUGAAACAUUAACAAAAACUAUAGAUACCAUUAUACCAAUAGAAAUAAGAAAAAAUAAUAACCAAAACAAUAUGAGCAUAAUUGAAAAACAAAAAUAAAUAUUACGUUAAUAUUUAAAUGCAUAAAAAUGAUUACAAUAAAUCCAAAAAUAGUUCAGAUAAUAAUAUAAAAAACUACUAAUUAAAAUUUGAAAAUUAUAUUAAAUCAAGAAAAAUUGAAUUAUUAUAAAAAGUGUGUUUUUAUUAUUUUUAAUUAUUAUACUAUUUUGACAUAUGAUAAAUUUAAUUUUGUUUAUAAUAUUAUCGUUAACAUAGAAUAAGUUUUUACAUUUUUAUAGGUCAUCAUAUUUUAUUGGUCGAUUAUAUUGCUAAAAAAUGCAUUGUAAUUGAUUAGGCUGUAGCCAGUUCCCAGUUUUUAAUAGUUUUUAUAGUUUAUUUUUUUGAUUAUGACAGAUGGUUUAUACGAAUAUGUAAACUGAAGUUGAUGGGAAAUGAGGAGUUUUUAAAUCAAAUAUUUUAAUAUUUAAUAAUUUUACUAAGAAAAAUUCUACAUAGAUAUAACAAUAUCCAUGCAAGUAAAUGUUAUUAUUUAAGAAUCGUUUAUUUGUUUCAAGGACGUUUUUCGUAGAUUCACUUGGAGAAUUCUUCGAUCAACGUAUUUUUGUUUAUUUUGAAACAACCAAGCGUCGUGCAAAAAUUCGAUGAUGUAACUACGUGGGAGCUUAUCUGAGCGGUGCUUUCCACUUUGCACAGUGCAAACGGCCACUUGACCACAGGAAGUCGAAAAACUGGUCCGGAUCGUCUGCAUUGUAUCCCGUAUGUCACCACGGUUCAGAGAAAGUGGUUUCCCGGUUAAAUCCAGUCUGUGCAUACUUAUGAUCGCGAUGUUUAGCUAUAAUGCUAUAUAGAUUGCAGUCUGGUUUCUUUGGCGUGCGAUAAUUUCACCCGGCAGACGACCGACGAGAAUACAAUUUUCGUAUACUAAUAUACACGAGCAAGAAUGUAUAUUUUCGUUGACAUUUAAACAAAAUAAUGUUUAUUAAUGGUAGAUUCGAAAGUACCUAUAUUAUGUGUACAGUAGAACAAUGAGUGAAGACAAUAUGUUUUAUGGAAUGCAGACGUCUUCCAGUGGAUGAACUUCUAACAUUUAAUUGUCUACUUCUGAACCUACUCACACCGUUCUAAGGAAAAUCGGUAUUGACUUAAAAAUAAAAGAAAUGUUAAUGACAAGUCAGGCCAUAGAUAAUUGAAGAAACGCAAUGGUCUCUAAAAACUGAUCGAUGAAAGCGAAAUCUGCCUUCUAAAUUCAUCAGGUAUAAUAAACGAGAGGACCAACACACAUUGCUUGCUCACAAGAUGGACAGACCUGAACAAAUAAUAUUGUUUGAAGAAUAGUGAUAAAAAAACCAACCGUUUCCACAGCGAAUACGAUUUGAAACACUUUUUAGAACAACUUGAGUCAAUUCAUCACACACGUACAUUAUUAUUAUUUUUAAUAAAAGUAUUGUCUAUUUCAGUGAAGAAAUUUUUAUUUAGGAAGUCCUUAUUUAUCAUCAUUUUUAUUAAUAUUUUACAUUGUUCUUCAGAAACCUCACAAUCUAUAAUCGAUAGUAUUGAUAAAUUCGCAAUUCUAUCACGUUUAUUAUUUUCAUAUUUUAGGUAUUCUUUAAUUGUUAAAACAUAAGCAUGUUUCUUCAAAAAUAAAUUAUCAAUUUUAGAAUUCGUUCCACAAAAUUUCUUUUUAUGUGGUAUAAUUUUUUUUUUAUUGGGUAUGCCAUUAAAAAAUAUUCUAUAACACUUUAUAAUUUCAUAGAUUACUUAUUUUGAUAUUUUAUUGAUAUCGAUUUAUUUUACUUAUAUCUGAGUAGAAUUAAGUGAAAUUAAAAA
Aphis gossypii (cotton aphid) is the source of this 2726-nucleotide long non-coding RNA. RefSeq lists it as uncharacterized. The record is from RefSeq and is a predicted model, not a curated record. The transcript is spliced from 4 exons. NCBI's taxonomy places the organism in Eukaryota, Metazoa, Arthropoda, Insecta, Hemiptera, Aphididae.